RNAcentral lists this long non-coding RNA (2194 nucleotides) under Homo sapiens (human). RNAcentral describes it as "HSALNT0296019". Lineage: Eukaryota; Metazoa; Chordata; Mammalia; Primates; Hominidae. The record is from RNAcentral.
AGCAGACAGGGUGCUUGCCUGCGUGUGGCUGCUCACGGCUUAUGCCUGCCUGCCUGUGGCUGGUGGGGUGCACCCAGACAGAGCACCUGUGGGGCUCCCACCCUCUUGCACACCCCACGCUGCUCUCUCUGUCUCCUCACUGGAUGGGGAUGAGAGCACGGCUCAGAGAUGGGACUCCCUCAGUGCACAGUGUGAGGGUGUCUGGCUUUGUGUCCUUCCCUCUCUCUGCUUGGUGGGCCACCUUCCUCAAAGACGACAGACUGGGCCCUGGAUGGCCCUGGGUGAUGGGCCUGGAGGUCAAGAGGCUUUGGGGAGGGAGAGCUUGUUUAUGGUCUCCCAGAGUCUCUGAACUCCAACAGGAGGGUUGGAGCCUUCUCCGUCAUGUUUACCAUGGAAUUCCCAAUCCCAUCUCAGUGCCUGGCACAUAAUGGCCCCUCAGGAAAUGUGUCUUGACUAAACUCAUAGCUUUGCCCCUGCUCCUGAGUGCUUUAGUCAUCCUCUUCUCCGGGAGUGAAUGACAAAGGGGCCCUUUUAGUUCUCUGGCUGUGCCUUCUCUCAGCCACAUCCCUCUAAUCCUUCCUGCUCCUGUCUUCCCUGGGGUCUCCUGCACUGGGCCUCACAGGUGAGCACCUGCAACUCUCAUUCCUGCAGAAGCCUCUGGAAAGUCAGACACAAGCUGGCUCCAGCGGAGGGGCCUCCAGCCUCUGCUGUCCCUUGCUGUUUUGUCUCAAGGCAGCGUCUUUCAAAUUGCCCUGCCACUGCCCUUUGGAGCCUUUGAGGAGUUUGAGGGGUUGUCAUAGCCAUGAAGAUUUAAACUUUGGAGGUCACACAAGGUUUUAAACAUCUGUUUUAUAAACUGAGUUCUCAGUAGAAGUUUUGAAGACAGAGCUCCAGUACUAAAAAUCUGUGCGGCCUGGCCUGCUCCUGACAUUUGCAGGCGUCUGUGCGGGAGUGGAAACAACACUGCUCCCGCUCAGGAGGAUGUGCCUAGGGCAGAGGCUCGAGCACUCCUGGAUGGGGCUCCCGUCAUUUGGACAGGGAAUUGGAGGGUGCCAGAGACCCAGAGUGUGUGCUAGAAGGAGGAACGUGGCUCCACGUGGGCCUGUCCCCUUGGCCUUCAAGAGCUUCACCUGGGCUGGGGCACUGGCUGCCCUGGUCUCAGUGUGGUAUCCUUUGAGAAUGACAAUUUCAGUAUGCACUCACUCUCUGCCUCUCUGUGCCGCUGGUCUGUGAGCUGGUCCAGGGCUGCGUUCUGGAAGACGGUGAGAGAACUGAAUCUUGUCCAGGAUCCCACACUGUUGACUCUCCCUUGGAGCCCUCCCCUUUUAUCUUUUGUGUAGUGCUCUUGGCUGGUCCUCAGAUGGGGUCUUGUCUCUUCCCUCAGUCUGGGGGCUUCAGGGAGACAGGAGCUAUUGCUUCUCAGAUGACGAGCUUCCUGGAGGAACUGCAUCUCCUUCUUUGGAUUGGGGGGGUGCCUGGAGGAGGGGCUGAGUCCCCUUCCCUAGUCCUCCUUCCUCCAGGUGGAGGCCAGGUGUGUGGCCUGAGCACUAGGGGUUGGGGGCUCUUGGAGAAUGGUAAGGGAUGGGAGAGUGAGGGAGCUGGGUGGGAAGGACACAUGCCCAGGGCUGCAGACAGGCAGAACCCAACAGGCAUGGUGCUUAGUUCCAGGGGCCCCGAAAGAGCAGCAAGAGGGAUGGAUGCUCUUCACGCUUCGUGAGGGCUGGCCAACAGCCAGGCAUGGGAGCUGGGGCGCAGGAUUGGGGCACGGUGAGAAGAGGCUCUAGGCCUCUCGGGUUUGGGGUCACCCCUGGAUUCUAUUUCCCUUGUUCUUUUCCGGACCUCUGAGAAGCUGGGAUGGGCAGACAUUUCCACUGUCUGGAGCCAGGAAGGAUUUCUUGGAAGAGAAUAACUCAGGGGCUCAGAGGGGAGGCAGGUCUCUCCCUCCCUCCCACCCUUUUCCCCUUCCCCCAACACCAACCCAGGGCAGGCUAACCAAACUUUAUAUAUAUUCUGAGUUAAGGAGCCCUGUGUCACAUUGAUAGGAAAAAACAAGAGAGAGAGAAGGGGAAGCCAGGAGAAUGCAGAGCUCAAAUGAGAACCGAGAUAAAGCAAUUACCUGAUCAAUACGGGUGAAAUUGAGUAAUCUAGCAGAUCAAUACCAUGGGCAGGAGGCUGGGGGGUGGGUGCUCCCUGC